This 206-nucleotide long non-coding RNA is filed under the name Zonotrichia albicollis (white-throated sparrow). RNAcentral's name for it is "lncRNA (ENSZALG00000003363.1)". The record is from RNAcentral. Lineage: Eukaryota; Metazoa; Chordata; Aves; Passeriformes; Passerellidae.
UCAGGAAUGAAGCUCUUGAGGUCAUGGGCACUGGAUGUUUAUUCUAAAUAUGUACCUGCUAUGGCACCCUGACAGAGACAGCCCUGCAGGAGAGGGACUGCUGAUUUGAGCUGGUACAGGAGGGAGAAUCGGGCAGAGGGUGAGCUGUGCAACUCUGUUGGCUUUUGAAAGAUGCUACAGUCAGCUGGAUUGAAGCCCAAACCUUG